Molecule: ribosomal RNA, 274 nt
Filed under: uncultured bacterium
Lineage: Bacteria
Description: partial 16S ribosomal RNA
Rfam family: Bacterial small subunit ribosomal RNA
Source: RNAcentral
AUACGGAGGGCGCAAGCGUUAUUCGGAAUCACUGGGCGUAAAGGACGCGUAGGCGGGUUGGCAAGUCAGAUGUGAAAUCCUACAGCUUAACUGUAGAACUGCAUUUGAAACUGCUAACCUAGAGUAUGGGAGGGGGAGAUGGAAUUAGUGGUGUAGGGGUAAAAUCCGUAGAUAUCACUAGGAAUACCGAAAGCGAAGGCGAUCUCCUGGAACAUAACUGACGCUAAGGCGUGAAAGCGUGGGGAGCAAACAGGAUUAGAAACCCUUGUAGUCC